UCCCGCCGUGGUGCCUCGACACGUUCGACCUGGUAGAACCCUCGGUCCGAGGCUUGGCGCUGCCCCCUUCCUAAACCGUGUGUCGCAGGUUCGAAUCCUGCCGGGGGAA
RNAcentral lists this transfer RNA (109 nucleotides) under Micromonospora purpureochromogenes. RNAcentral describes it as "tRNA-OTHER". Lineage: Bacteria; Bacillati; Actinomycetota; Actinomycetes; Micromonosporales; Micromonosporaceae. The record is from RNAcentral.